Molecule: ribosomal RNA, 352 nt
Filed under: uncultured eukaryote
Lineage: Eukaryota
Description: SSU rRNA
Rfam family: Eukaryotic small subunit ribosomal RNA
Source: RNAcentral
CGAUAACGAACGAGACCUCGACCUACUAAAUAGUUUGCCGAACUCUUUGGGUUCGCGCACGCUUCUUAGAGGGACUAUCGGUGGUUAGCCGAUGGAAGUUCGAGGCAAUAACAGGUCUGUGAUGCCCUUAGAUGUUCUGGGCCGCACGCGCGCUACACUGAUACGUUCAUCGAGUUUACAACCUUGACCGGAAGGUCUGGGUAAUCUUUGAAAGCGUAUCGUGAUGGGGAUAGAUUAUUGUAAUUUUUAAUCUUCAACGAGGAAUUCCUAGUAAUCGCGCGUCAUUAACGCGCAAUGAUUACGUCCCUGCCCUUUGUACACACCGCCCGUCGCUACUACCGAUUGAAUGGCU